UACGUAGGGGGCAAGCGUUGUCCGGAUUUAUUGGGCGUAAAGAGCUCGUAGGCGGUUCGGUAAGUCGGGUGUGAAAACUCUGGGCUCAACCCAGAGCCGCCACCCGAUACUGCUGUGACUUGAGUUCGGUAGGGGAGCGGGGAAUUCCUGGUGUAGCGGCGAAAUGCGCAGAUAUCAGGAGGAACACCAGUGGCGAAGGCGCCGCUCUGGGCCGAGACUGACGCUGAGGAGCGAAAGCGUGGGUAGCAAACAGG
RNAcentral lists this ribosomal RNA (254 nucleotides) under uncultured bacterium. RNAcentral describes it as "partial 16S ribosomal RNA". It matches the Rfam family "Bacterial small subunit ribosomal RNA", at positions 524 to 776 of the family's 1533-position model. The record is from RNAcentral.